Long non-coding RNA from Brassica napus (rape), 3673 nucleotides. RefSeq lists it as uncharacterized. Lineage: Eukaryota; Viridiplantae; Streptophyta; Magnoliopsida; Brassicales; Brassicaceae. The transcript is spliced from 7 exons. The record is from RefSeq and is a predicted model, not a curated record.
UCUGCCACAUCAGAAAGUCGCGCCUUGUCCAGUCGACACAUGUCACGUCGACCAAAACUCAACGUUUCAUUUAGUUUAGUGUGUCAUAUAUUGUCAUGUUUGUGUUUGGACUUUAUAUUUUCUUAAUAAAACCCAAUCCGAUAAAGAGCAAUACAACGUGAUGUUUUAUUACAGACAAUAACUCAGUCCGACUGAAAGGUUAACAUCUUAUUCUUCACGACACCCAUCGUCUUCUUCUAGGAUUCAUCGCGAGACAUUCAUCCUAUUAAGAAUUAUCGCCAUUAGUGGAGUUUCUGGAGGUUGUGUGAGAAGAAUCUUCCUGAUGAAUCUUUGGGUCGAUCUUCGUUCGCGUCUGUUCAUCUUAGAUUCUUCUCCUCCAAAACGUUACGGAUUCACCCAUUCAUCGCCAUUAAGAACCAUCUUUACUCCUUUGACCCACAACAAUCACUACAGAUCAUUCAAUGCUUUUUAUUUUUCUUCAAGGCGAUGUUUUAUUCACGUAUAAGAAGGUCAGUCCUCAACUCCUGAACAUCAUCGUCUUCUCCCUCUCUAUCUAUUCAGUUAUACUUAUUGUUAUUUAAAAGCAAUUCGUUGCAGCUUCGUCUCCCUCCUUUGUAAUCAAACCCUACACAAAACCUUUCAUUAACAAUCAACAUUUUUUAUAUCGAUUCAGUUUACCCACUUUGGAUCGAUUCAGUUUACCCACUUCGGCUCAAAGGUAUCGCAGUGCUUGGAAACAUAGAACGCCAGGAAGAAUUUUUUUAGUCAUAAAAACAAAAGAUUUGAUGAAGAACUUUGGCUAAUCUUCAAUUCUUCAAUUGAUUAUGCCACUGUCAUACGUCCACAAUCUCUUCGUCUGGUACCAGCAAAAGUUAGGUUUAACAAAUUUUCCUCCAAAUUCAAUUUUCUCAUGAUAAAAUCAUCAUUAUAGAUGCAAAUAUUGUAAUUUUUGAUAACCAUAAUUUAUUUCGACAUGCUAUUUGGAAAGGAUAAAAAUGGUGUCCACAUAUUAUAUGUUCAAAUUUUGUAAAUACCAGAAACUGAUGGAGGUUUUACAUGACAUCUGCCAACGAUGUCUCUCAUUGCUUUAGACUUUAGCUACUUGCACGAUGUGAAAGUUCCCGGUAAAAGAUCCCCAUUGUUCUCAAUAAAGGAGGAGAUGACAAGCUAGAUGGAAAUGCUGCUUUGAACAAGUUUUCCAGCCAUAGAUACUAGAGUAUGGAUGAGGAGGAUGAGACAAGCCAAAUGCAUAUCAAUUUCUCUUUUGGUCUUCUAUUUUAACAACUUAUCUUUCACCUUUUCACUCACAAUAUACCUUCUCAGGUGGUUUUAGAUGUGACAAAAAAAACCUUUUGAAAAAAACCAUGAAGUUGCAUUGGAGGAUGAAAUCACAGACUAAGAGCAGAAAAAGGAUACUCCACGAGCGGCCAUCACUUUGAAUCUUAUUCUAAAUUGUAAAAGAAUCAAUGAAAGAGUUUGUACCUACAGUUGAAACCAGACCUUGAUCUGCUUAGGCUCGAUAUUUAGACAAAAUGGAACAUUUGAGAUCAAUUAAUUAUUGUGGCUGGAGCGCCUCUGAUUGCUCUGCCCUGUACUUAACGUACUUUUCCAAUAUUUUCAUGCUUCAGGUUUGAGUAAAAUUCUGAAUAGUUUCAUUUUUUUUGCCCAGACGCAUAGAUUUAUGGUUUCUCUAGCUUUCAUAGCUGAUAUCAGAGCUUUAGAGUAUGCAUGCUUAGGAGAUGUGUGCCGAUUUAUGAUGCCGUGAAACAUAACUAUAUCGUGUAGUUUGUCAAACAUGAGAUAGUUUUGAAGUGGAGAACCUCAGAAAAUGGAAAUGUACAUCAAUGCAUAUUUCAGACUUCAAUUAUGAUGAAAUCAUAAAAAAGGGCAUUAAACUUAGCAUUUUCGACAAAGUUAGAUUUUAUUAACUUGAAAGUUGAAUAUCAGAAUACAAACUUGGAGUAAGCUACUUAAGUGGCUAUUUCUUAUCAUUAUAGAAAGCUCCGUUAGGAAAAUCCUUUUUGGCAAUAGCAUGUGCUACAUUAUUCUAAUUACGCCUAACAAAUGAAUACGAAGAGAAAGUAAACUUCGAAUUCUAGAACUCCAAAUUACUUAGGAUGUUAAUAAUUAAAAGUUCAGUAUAUACUUUCUUUUAAAUUUUAAGUAUAUAAAAGCCUCUGCGGCAUCAAUGUAAACUUUUUCAUUGAUGGUUGGAUAGACAGACAAUGCAUGAAGAUAGCAAAAGAUGAAUGUGACCGAAAAUAUGAUUAGAUGAAGUCAUUUUUUAAAAAAUAAAUCAAUAACAAAAUUCUGAUUUAACAUAAUUUACUAAAAUUUUAAUUCAAACCAACACUACGUACUAUUUAUUAAAGAAUAAUGAGGAUUACUGUCAUUUUAAUUUAAACCAAAAUAUUUAUUAAAAAUAGCAAUAUGAUCUCAUAAUUUUUUUCAUUAUUUGUUUGUUUAUAAUAUUUUUCAAUCUAUAAUGAUUUUUAAAUGGUUCAUAAAUUAAUAUAAAAUAAUAUUUAUCAUAACUUUUUAUUAUAACUUCCCGCCCGUAUGGCGGGCCGGUCCUAAUCUAUCUAUCUAUCUAUAAUAACAAAGGAGAGAGAAUUGUCUCUCUCCAUAGUCCUCCCCAUCAUCAAUUAGCAUCUAUAAUAAUAAAGGAGAGAGAGUUGUCUCUCUCCAUAGUCCUCCACAUCAUCAAUUAGCAUGGGGCUAAUUACGCCACGUGGUCACUUAGUAAACAACCCUCCAAAAGUUAUAUUUUCAUUUCGUUAUUCUAAUAGAUUUCUGGUUGCUCUUGGUCCGCACUGAAAAAUAAAUCAAGCCCACCAUCUAAUUCUAUUCGACGAGGACGAGUCAUAUUCUUAUUUGUAUCAACAACGCUGCCUAACCGAUGUUGAAAACGUCUCUCCAGCUUUCAAGUGACUAAGUUACUUAUCGAUUCAAUUUCUCUCAGUAAUAUUGCAAAACAUGCCGUAGUAAAGCUGCUGCAAAGGUUCCAAAUAAACCACAAAGGCCAGCCAGUUCAUUCUUCGUUUUCAUUGAAGAUUCCCGUGAGACUUUCAAGAAAAAGCUUCCCAAGAACAAAUUCGUUGCUACUGUGAGUGUCUCCUUAGGUUCAUCUUCAAAGGCAUACUAACUUUAAAUUUGUAUGGAUAAACAAGUUGGAAAAGAUUCUGGAGACAAGUGGAAAUUCCUACAGAUGUUGUAUGUACUUUAUCUCAGUUUUCAUGUUCUAAACUAAAUAUAAUACUUGAAUUUCACAAUAAUUCUGGAGAAAGAACCUCAUGUUGCUAAGGCUAAAAAGCGCAAGGGUUGACUACGAGAAAACCUGAAACCUUGCAACAAAAAAUUGAGGAAGAUGAGGAAUUAGACGAGUCAGUGCUAGAGGUUAAUGGUGGAGAUUACAAUGAGGAUGGAAGAGAGGAAGAGAACUAUGACUAAGAAGUUGAAGUUUGUAGCAUUAGUAUAAGAUGGCUGCAAAGAUAUCUCUGUCUGUAAUCUUAUCAAAUGUUUGUGGGGAUGAUUAAAAGAGGGCUGAAUAGGGUGCAAAAGCAAAAGACUACACUUACACAAAGCUCUUGAAGCUAGAGACAAUGCAGCUGAGAAAGCUCAGAGAAAUUUUGACUAUUUAACAGAGUUAGGGAAGCAAACGGGAAACAUUGAC